UCUUCACAGAAUCUAGCUCACUACUCAGUGAUCAGUGACAGUCUGUCUCAGACUCAGUGACAGUCCUACCCUACUCAUAGAGUCACUACUGACACACUCAGUACUAGUGUUACUAAGUGUAUGCUAGAUCUAUCUAAGUGUUGCACACUGUUGGGGCACUACUCAACUACUUGAACUACUGCCACAGUGCCACUAGUUUGUGACUAGAUCUACACAGUGUCACAGUGACAGUCAAUAAGUUUGAAUAUCUACAAUCAAUAUUUGAAUUAUAAUAUUUAAUUAUUAUUAUCAAUGUGACAAGUCUCACAAGAGUACAAACAAGAGUCAAGAGUGACAAUACCAAGACAAAUGUGACAAGAUUUGAAUUUGUCAACCGUCUUUCUCGAUUGUGUGGCAUUGAAAUUGAAGUGCAGAAGUCCAUUCCUCUCUCAGGCCCGUCCAUUCUUUUAUUUUAUGUUGUCUUCCUAUCGCUUUCUUUGUCUGCCUUUUCCAAGGCACCUCUUUUUUUCUGUAACUCAGUGUAACUACUGUAAAAGUUGCUCAGUGUAGUGUAAGUGUUCAAGUUACUAGACAGUGCAAUAGAAUGAGUAGACUCAUCCAUGCUUUAGAUAGGUCUAAGAGUAAGACUCUUUUAUAACUUUUAAGUCAUAAUAUAAGUUAGAUACUUCGAUUUUCCGGUCGCGCGAGAUUUUUUUUGGUUACCGGAACCGGUAGUAUUCGUGCGGCAGUAUUUAAGCCGAUAACAAUAGAGAUUUCGUUCCAGUCUGGUUUUGUCUUCAAAAUCAGACACAAAAGGAUAGUCAGAGCCCUUUGUUUGUUCAAGGAUCGGAUAUCAGUUAAUUCUUUGGAUUUAUAUCAGUGCUUUUCUAUCGUCUUCAUUGGAGUUCCAGCGUGUUGAGCAUAGGAGUAAGUUGACCAUCCAUAAUUUUUUUAUUAUUCUGAAAAGCAUAUUUUUUAAAGUCAAUCCGUGUACCUUAAUAUCUAAUCUAACUAUUUUUGUUCAUAUUAUCGCAAUAAGUGUACCACUUUAUUAGUAAAAACGGACCCAAUGCAUCAGGUAUCUUGGCUAGAAAACGAAACCAGCCGCCAUUACUAACCGGAAAUGAUAGAUUCAAUGGUUAUCAAUGGCUGCAUAGCUUUUUUGUUAGAUCGAUUUUUUUUAAAUCCAUCAUCAAGAACAGUUUUAUUUAGUCAUCCGUGAUUUUGAAUGCAAUUUUUAAAAUUUUUAGAAUGAUUUUAAACUAGUUCAAUUAUUAUUUUUCGUUUUUAGUUAAAUUUCUUGCAAUGGCUGGUAAUAUAAUUGGGAUAAUUAUAAAAUAAUUUAUAAAUACAAAAUUUUAAGUGAUAGUUACCAUAAUAAUCACUACUAAAUAUAAGUUAUAAACAAAAUAUAACACAAAUCAAUUGAAAUAUCAUUUUAUUUCAAUGAAAAUACUUUUUCAGAUAUUAAUCUAUAGAUCUACUUAAAUCUACUAUAUUCUCUAUAUGAUUUAGGAUAAUUGUAGAAAUUUAUUUUAAAGUAAAGGCUUGGCUGGACUUGGACUUAUGAAGUUGAGCCUUCUAUUUUACAUUAAAUGUCUUAUAUCCUUUUAUAAAUAAAAUCUUUAAACUGCAUUUUAUUAAAAUUGUACAUAUGUGUAAUUUUGUUUGAAACAUUUUUUUUUUCACAAUUAAAUAAAACUAACUUUUUUUUGUUACAUUUUCCCCAGAUAAUGUGGGCGUGGCAGGCCUUGAUGUCGAUGUUGUUGACAAUAAGUUUCGAAGGCAUAUGACUGAUGUGAAGAACUUUUGCAGGAAGAUUACCCGCAGCUGGCACCUAGUUGCACCCUACUUGGAUAAAAAAAUUUCUAUCAAUGCUGCUGGCAAAAAGACACCUAUCCAAGUCCCAAGACAGCACUGAACGACCUAGUAUGGUGAAGAAGUUGCGACCUGAAGGUGAUGUUGAGGCUACUGAAAGGCCAGGUAACACAGAACAACACUGUGCUUGUUGUUGCAGAAAAGCGGUUAGUCUUUUAAGGGCUUUUUGGCAAGAUGUUGACUGGACCGUGGAUGACACUGAUCUACAAAAUGAAAGAUGAAACAUUUUAAAGAUACCAUUUAUGCAGCUAUUAUAUUUAUUCUCUUGUUUUCUAGAUCUCUCAUGUGAAGGUCUGCAUUGACAGACUAAAGCCACUAAAGGCCAUUGUGGAUUCUCCAGAGAAUCUCCUUUCAAUACUAAGUGAUUGCUUUGGCCAGACUCUGGAUACUGAAGAUCUCGUUCUGAAAACCCUGAGAAAUGUGACUGUUGAUGAAGUAUUUAUCGAGAUCACUAAAAAACUUGCUGAAGGUUUUUGUAAGGUGCUACAGAGACAGUACUUCAAUUGAUAAUUUCAAACAACAAACAAAUCCAUCAUGUGCUUACCCAUCAAAUAGUUAGAUAUAUUUUAUUUUAAGGGAACAUGUUGCAUAUCUGGGAUAUUUAUUUAAUGUGAAAUAUAUAAUUUCACAAUACAGCUGAUAAUUGUGCUAUGAACCAUUUAUAUUAAGUCUUGAUAAUUUUACCUUUUCAGCAAGCCUACAUUGGUAUGCAUUAAAAGUAUUUAUUCUAUUUCAGCAAAACAGAUAGGGUACACCUAAACAAUGUUCAUCUUCAAACAAUCAUGCAUGAUCCUCGCAAGCUUUGGAUACUGACGUACAUUUGCAAACGCACUCAGACUGAUGACAUCAAGAAAUCUAUAUUUGUUAUUUACAUUAUAUGUAAAUUUAAAUACUCUUUUUUUUUUAAUUUUUUUUUAAUUUUGUAAAUCUUGUAUAAUUAUCUCUAAAGUCUAGAUUAAAAUGUUACAGCUCUCAAUGUAUGAAAUAGAAAUUUUUGGUUUUUAUUUUUGUGUUGUUUUUCCAACAUGUUAUUCAUCCAAAGUUUAUUAUAAGUAUCAGCAAAAAGUUGUUAAUUUCAGUUAAAAGCCUAAAAAGUAAUUUACGGCUAAAAAAGUUGCAACAUUUUAAGUGUCAACAUAAUGAAAACUUCUGUCUCAGAUUAUAAUAAAAUAAACAAAUAACACAUAAUCAUGCAUGCAUUCCUGUAGAAAACUUCAUUUAAAUUUCUCAAUUAGUUAAAAAUUUAUAACCAACAUAAAUUUUGGUUGUUAUAACCAUAAGUGUCAACAUAAUAUUUUGUCGAAAAAAACUCAAACUUGUCAUUCCACAUUUAUCAAAAAUCAAAUUUUCAAAAAAAUUCUUAUCUCAGUGUUAAAAUAGAAUAAACAAAUAACACAUAAUCAUGCAUUUCUGUUCAAAAUUUCAUUUAAAUAUCUCAAUUGGUUAAAGAGUUAUGACCAACAUAAAUUUUGGUCGUUUUUUAAAUUGUCGUUCCACGUUAAUAAAGAAAAAUUUUUUUUUUCUUAAACGUCUUUCUCAGCGUUAUAAUAGAAUAAAUAAAUAACACAUA
Biomphalaria glabrata is the source of this 3427-nucleotide long non-coding RNA. RefSeq lists it as uncharacterized. The record is from RefSeq and is a predicted model, not a curated record. NCBI's taxonomy places the organism in Eukaryota, Metazoa, Mollusca, Gastropoda, Planorbidae. The transcript has 2 exons.